GCUGGGCACGGUGGCUCACGCCUGUAAUCCCAGCACUUUGGGAGGCUGAGGUGGGUGGAUCACCUGAGGUCAGGAGUUCGAGAAUAGCCUGGCCAACAUGGUGAAAACCCAUCUCUA
Molecule: unclassified non-coding RNA, 117 nt
Organism: Pongo abelii (Sumatran orangutan)
Lineage: Eukaryota; Metazoa; Chordata; Mammalia; Primates; Hominidae
Rfam family: Metazoan signal recognition particle RNA
About the family: The signal recognition particle (SRP) is a universally conserved ribonucleoprotein.
Source: Ensembl